GACGAACGCUGGCGGCGUGCUUAACACAUGCAAGUCGAACGGUAAGGCCCUUCGGGGUACACGAGUGGCGAACGGGUGAGUAACACGUGGGUGAUCUGCCCUGCACUUCGGGAUAAGCCUGGGAAACUGGGUCUAAUACCGGAUAGGACUCCUGGCUUCAUGGUUGGGGGUGGAAAGCUUUUGCGGUGUGGGAUGGGCCCGCGGCCUAUCAGCUUGUUGGGGGGGUAAUGGCCUACCAAGGCGACGACGGGUAGCCGGCCGGAGAGGGUGACCGGUCACACUGGGACUGAGAAACGGCCCAGACUCCUACGGGAGGCAGGAGUGGGGAAUAUUGCAAAAUGGGCGCAAGCCUGAUGCAGCGACGCCGCGUGAGGGAUGACGGCCUUGGGGUUGUAAACCUCUUUCAGCUAUGACGAAGCGCAAGUGACGGUAGUAGCAGAAGAAGGACCGGCCAACUACGUGCCAGCCGCCGCGGUAA
This 478-nucleotide ribosomal RNA is filed under the name uncultured bacterium. RNAcentral describes it as "partial 16S ribosomal RNA". It matches the Rfam family "Bacterial small subunit ribosomal RNA", at positions 28 to 523 of the family's 1533-position model. The record is from RNAcentral.